Molecule: ribosomal RNA, 742 nt
Filed under: Candidatus Phytoplasma pruni
Lineage: Bacteria; Bacillati; Mycoplasmatota; Mollicutes; Acholeplasmatales; Acholeplasmataceae
Description: bacterial SSU rRNA
Rfam family: Bacterial small subunit ribosomal RNA
Source: RNAcentral
CAGUGCUUAACGCUGUUGUGCUAUAGAAACUGUUUUACUAGAGUGAGAUAGAGGCAAGCGGAAUUCCAUGUGUAGCGGUAAAAUGCGUAAAUAUAUGGAGGAACACCAGAGGCGUAGGCGGCUUGCUGGGUCUUUACUGACGCUGAGGCACGAAAGCGUGGGGAGCAAACAGGAUUAGAUACCCUGGUAGUCCACGCCGUAAACGAUGAGUACUAAGUGUCGGGUAAAACUGGUACUGAAGUUAACACAUUAAGUACUCCGCCUGAGUAGUACGUACGCAAGUAUGAAACUUAAAGGAAUUGACGGGACUCCGCACAAGCGGUGGAUCAUGUUGUUUAAUUCGAAGAUACACGAAAAACCUUACCAGGUCUUGACAUUUUCUUGCGAAGUUAUAGAAAUAUAAUGGAGGUUAUCAGGAAAACAGGUGGUGCAUGGUUGUCGUCAGCUCGUGUCGUGAGAUGUUAGGUUAAGUCCUAAAACGAGCGCAACCCUUGUCGUUAAUUGCCAGCAUGUAAUGAUGGGGACUUUAACGAGACUGCCAAUGAAAAAUUGGAGGAAGGUGGGGAUUACGUCAAAUCAUCAUGCCCCUUAUGAUCUGGGCUACAAACGUGAUACAAUGGUUGAUACAAAGAGUAGCUGAAACGCGAGUUCUUAGCCAAUCUCAAAAAAACAAUCUCAGUUCGGAUUGAAGUCUGCAACUCGACUUCAUGAAGUUGGAAUCGCUAGUAAUCGCGAAUCAGCA